Sphaeramia orbicularis (orbiculate cardinalfish) is the source of this 315-nucleotide long non-coding RNA. RefSeq lists it as uncharacterized. The record is from RefSeq and is a predicted model, not a curated record. The transcript has 3 exons. Lineage: Eukaryota; Metazoa; Chordata; Actinopteri; Kurtiformes; Apogonidae.
UCGUUAGUGCAUUAAGGAAGGAAAAAAAACAUACACAGCUGUCCACAAUCUGCACAAGAGGAAUAUAUCAAAACUCUUUUAAGGGCACAGCUGCAAACACAGGAGGAAAAGCCUUCGUGUUGAUCCGUCAAACAAAGCACCGCAUUUAUUCCGCACUGACUGCUACAAUGGUGUGACAACUGUGAACGCCCCUUUGCCAGACUCCGUCACUGAAGUGAAUACAGUCUCUGGAAAACAUGGAGGAAUUUUCUCACUCUUACAUAUCGGAAUAUGGAGACAUUGAGGAUAUAGAGGAGGAGGAGGAAGAAGAGGAGA